UACGUAGGGCGCAAGCGUUGUCCGGAAUUAUUGGGCGUAAAGAGCUCGUAGGCGGUUUGUCGCGUCUGCUGUGAAAACCUAAGGCUCAACCUUGGGCUUGCAGUGGGUACGGGCAGACUAGAGUGCGGUAGGGGUGACUGGAAUUCCUGGUGUAGCGGUGGAAUGCGCAGAUAUCAGGAGGAACACCGAUGGCGAAAGCAGCUUUCUGGGACGGUACUGACGCUGAGACGCGAAAGCGUGGGGAGCGAACAGG
This 253-nucleotide ribosomal RNA is filed under the name uncultured bacterium. Its description in RNAcentral is "partial 16S ribosomal RNA". It matches the Rfam family "Bacterial small subunit ribosomal RNA", at positions 524 to 776 of the family's 1533-position model. The record is from RNAcentral.